Long non-coding RNA from Dipodomys spectabilis (banner-tailed kangaroo rat), 1019 nucleotides. RefSeq lists it as uncharacterized. Lineage: Eukaryota; Metazoa; Chordata; Mammalia; Rodentia; Heteromyidae. The record is from RefSeq and is a predicted model, not a curated record. The transcript is spliced from 2 exons.
CCUUUUCUGUGAUCCCUCUUAUCCUCCCAAAUACAACAAACAAAUAAGACAAAAGGAAAAGAGAACAAAAACAGCAACAAUGACAACUAAAAAUUGUGUGUUUCAUUUCCUUAGAGUUCUUCUCAGAGGAAGAAGUAAGAUUGGCCAAUAGACACAUGAAGAAGUAUUCAACAUCUCUGGCCAUAAAAGAAAUGCAAAUCAAGACAACAUUGAGAUUCCACCUCACCCCAGUUAGAAUGGGCAUUAUCAAGAGAGCCUGUAACAAAUGCUGAUGGGGACAUGGCCAAACGGGAACUCUAUUACACUGUUGGAAAUGCUUAUCUUGGAAAUAAACCUUUUCAACAAAUGCUUUGAGAAACUGGACGUCACCAAAAGACAGAAACUGGGUCCAUGACCCGCAGUUAGCACUAAUAUCAACUUAAAACAGUCAAAGACUUUAAUACAAGACCUGCAAACUUGAAAGUACUACAGGAAAUAUAGAGGAAACAAUGGAAUACAUUAAUCUCUUAUAUAAUUUGUAAUGUAUAUAGGAGCAAAUCAGAUCUAGAAAGUGGUUAUAUGUGUUCUGUUUCCCCUUCAGUUUAAUAUAAAUUUAUUUUAUUAGUCUUUUCAAGGAAUUAACUUCUAAUUUUCCUGUUAUUUUUGUUGUGUAUUUUUAAUUGAUUUUUUGCUGUUGUAUAUAUUAUCUGCUUUCUCAUACAUGUGUUUAAUUUCACUUCAUUUACAUGAUGCUUCAUUUUAUUUACAUAAUAUUUAUAUAAUUCAUUUUCAAUCUUGGUUUUCAGAUAGAUAGAUAGAUAGAUAGAUAGAUAGAUAGAUAGAUAGAUAGAUAGAUAGAUAGAUGGGUUGAUAGAUAUGGACAUGGUUGUAAAUUCCCUUUUAUGCACAACUUUAUUUUCAUUCUAAAAGUCUGACUAUAUUUUAUUUUUGUGAUUAUUUAUUUCAAAAUAUUUUGAAUUUUGUAUUUGAACUUAGAAAUGUCAAUAAAACAAAAAAAUGUCUUGUCUGAUUUCUAAACA